This 497-nucleotide ribosomal RNA is filed under the name uncultured bacterium. Its description in RNAcentral is "partial 16S ribosomal RNA". It matches the Rfam family "Bacterial small subunit ribosomal RNA", at positions 28 to 507 of the family's 1533-position model. The record is from RNAcentral.
GAUGAACGCUGGCGGCGUGCCUAAUACAUGCAAGUCGAGCGAACGGACGAGAAGCUUGCUUUUCAGUUGUUAGCGGCGGACGGGUGAGUAACACGUGGAUAACCUACCUAUAAGACUGGGAUAACUUCGGGAAACCGGAGCUAAUACCGGAUAAUAUUUGGAACCGCGUGGUUCAAGAGUGAAAGACGGGCUUGCUGUCACUUAUAGACGGAUCCGCGCUGCAUUAGCUAGUUGGUAAGGUAACGGCUUACCAAGGCAACGAUGGAUAGCCGACCUGAGCGGGGGUACGCCCCCACUGGAGCUGAGCCGCGGUCCUGGCACCUACGGGAGGCAGAGGUAGGGACUCUUCCGAGAUGGGCGAAAGCCUGACCGAGCAACGCCGCGCGAGUGAUGAGGGUCUGCGGAGCGUAAGACGCUGUUAUUAGUGAAGAACAUUUGUGUAAGUAACUGUGCACAUCUUGACGGUACCUAGUCAGAAAGCCACGGCUAACUACGUG